AUACGUAGGUGGCAAGCGUUGUCCGGAAUUAUUGGGCGUAAAGCGCAUGUAGGCGGUUUGGUAAGUCGGUCGUGAAAAUGCGGUGCUUAACGCCGUAUGGCGAUUGAAACUGCUGAACUUGAGUGCAGGAGAGGAAAGGGGAACUCCCAGUGUAGCGGUGAAAUGCGUAGAUAUUGGGAAGAACACCGGUGGCGAAGGCGCCUUUCUGGACUGUGUCUGACGCUCAGAUGCGAAAGCCAGGGUAGCGAACGGGAUUAGAUACCCCGGUAGUCCUGGCCGUAAACGAUGGGUACUAGGUGUGGGAGGUAUCGACUCCUUCCGUGCCGGAGUUAACGCAAUAAGUACCCCGCCUGGGGAGUACAGCCGCAAGGCUUAAACUCAAAUGAAUUGACGGGG
RNAcentral lists this ribosomal RNA (396 nucleotides) under uncultured bacterium. RNAcentral's name for it is "partial 16S ribosomal RNA". It matches the Rfam family "Bacterial small subunit ribosomal RNA", at positions 523 to 918 of the family's 1533-position model. The record is from RNAcentral.